AUAACUUGCAGGUCAGAGUUCUGCUUCACUCGGAGCAUGUGUGUUAAGGUGUCGCUGAUGUCCCCUCGUGUGUGAAGUGAUCAGUCUGCAGUAGCUUGUUUUCCAUUGCUGUGAAACAAUUCCCACGUAAACAGGCUUAUUUAGCCUAGAGUUUGGGAGGUGUCUGUGCAUGGUGUCUACAUUUAGUCACUGGUGAGGACACUUUGGCUUCCUUGUAUCAUGCAUAGAAUUGUGGCAGAUGACCUGUGAGAGGGAAAGGUCAUCAUGGCAACAUCGUGGGGAAAAGAGAGGCAGAGGUAGUGAUUUCUUUUAAAUAAAAACGCCUUCUUCCGGAACCAAGACAGGCUCUCACAACAACUGCUGUAUGUGUGCAAAGUGCCAACAUUCCCAGUGACCUCACCACUUCCCACCAGGCUACUCCCCCAUCUCAACUCCAGCAUGCUAAGAAUCCCCUACCUCUCGUGAUAAAGUUGGUAACAAAAUAGUUUGAAAUAGCUUUAUGAUACAGAGUUUUUAUUUGGUUUUAAUAAAAAAACAACAACCAAAAAAGAAAGCUAUGGAGUUAGAGAGUUACUUGCUUAAUAAACGUUUUAAAGCUUGUUUGUUUUUGAGAUGGUCUCAUUUAACCUAACUUGGCAUCUCCUCAAGUAGGUGAGAAUAACUUUUGACCUUCUGAUCCUCCAGGCCCUACUCCUCUCAGCAUAGCAGUGUAGGUGUGCACCACCAUGCCUGGUUUAAGACUUGCAGCUGAAGAAACUCGGUGGCUAAGAGCAUUGGCUGCAUUUAACAGAUCCAGGACUCAGUUCUCAGCCCCCGUGUCACAGCUUACAGUUGUCUGUAACUCCAGUUCCAAUGGACCAGACACUGGCUUCUGGCUUCUGUAGGCACUACACAUUCAUACAUGGAUGCAGGCAAAUGCUCAUACACAUAAAAUAAAAAUAAUCUUAA
RNAcentral lists this long non-coding RNA (948 nucleotides) under Rattus norvegicus (Norway rat). Its description in RNAcentral is "long non-coding RNA NONRATT004666". The record is from RNAcentral. Lineage: Eukaryota; Metazoa; Chordata; Mammalia; Rodentia; Muridae.